GACAGGCAACAUGUGAUGACAUUUAUCCUCAGAUAUUUCUUAACAGGUGAGCUAAUGAUGAAUGUGGAUGGAAGUGCUAAAGGCAAUCCCAAGCAACUGGAAUUGGUGAUGAACAAGUUGCUUGGAAGUUUAGAUUUGUGGAAAACAUAUUGAAAUUUUUGGCACCAGCAUUGAAGCAGAGCUCUGGGAAAUUAUGAGGGAUCUCACUAUUGUAAGGCACAAGAACCUUCAAAAUGUGAACAUGGAAACUCACUCUAGGGUAGCUGUGGCUCUAAAUUCUAAUUAUGGAACAUGGAAGCAACACCAAUCCCUUCAUGGGCAUCAUUAAAGAUUUGUAGAUUGCUCCUUAAUCGACUCAAUUGCAAACUGAUUCAUGUGUUAGGUGCUCUGUUAAAUGUUGAUCUUGUUGAGGUCAUGUACAUCAAACCCCAGUUUCUGUUUGUUUGUUUUGGUUGUUUUGUUCAAUUUCCCUUGUACCACAAAAAGAGAGUUUUCUUUCAAUUGGUGUUUCCAAUUGUUUUGUUGUUGU
Molecule: non-coding RNA, 529 nt
Organism: Camellia sinensis
Lineage: Eukaryota; Viridiplantae; Streptophyta; Magnoliopsida; Ericales; Theaceae
Source: RefSeq, a predicted model, not a curated record